AGUACAGACGAGUUUGAUCCUGGCUCAGGAUGAACGCUAGCGGCAGGCCUAACACAUGCAAGUCGAGGGGUAGAACACUUCGGUGUUUGAGACCGGCGCACGGGUGCGUAACGCGUAUGCAAUCUACCUUGUACAGGGGAAUAGCCCAGAGAAAUUUGGAUUAAUGCCCCAUAGUAUAUAACCUUCGCAUGUUGGUUAUAUUAAAGUUCCAACGGUACAAGAUGAGCAUGCGUCCCAUUAGUUAGUUGGUAAGGUAACGGCUUACCAAGACGAUGAUGGGUAGGGGUCCUGAGAGGGAGAUCCCCCACACUGGUACUGAGACACGGACCAGACUCCUACGGGAGGCAGCAGUGAGGAAUAUUGGUCAAUGGUCGCAAGACUGAACCAGCCAUGCCGCGUGCAGGAAGACGGUCCUAUGGAUUGUAAACUGCUUUUAUACAGGAAGAAACCCUCCCACGUGUGGGAGCUUGACGGUACUGUAGGAAUAAGGAUCGGCUAACUCCGUG
Molecule: ribosomal RNA, 506 nt
Filed under: uncultured bacterium
Lineage: Bacteria
Description: bacterial SSU rRNA
Rfam family: Bacterial small subunit ribosomal RNA
Source: RNAcentral